GCUGCGGUGGUGGAAUUGGUAGACACGCUAGCUUGAGGGGCUAGUGCUUCACGGUGUAAGAGUUCGAGUCUCUUCCGCAGCACCA
RNAcentral lists this transfer RNA (85 nucleotides) under Candidatus Margulisbacteria bacterium GWF2_35_9. RNAcentral's name for it is "tRNA-Leu". It matches the Rfam family "tRNA". From Rfam's summary of the family: Transfer RNA (tRNA) molecules are approximately 80 nucleotides in length. Their secondary structure includes four short double-helical elements and three loops (D, anti-codon, and T loops). Lineage: Bacteria; Bacillati; Candidatus Margulisiibacteriota. The record is from RNAcentral.